RNAcentral lists this long non-coding RNA (1214 nucleotides) under Mytilus galloprovincialis (Mediterranean mussel). The record is from RNAcentral. Lineage: Eukaryota; Metazoa; Mollusca; Bivalvia; Mytilida; Mytilidae.
UUGGGACUAGUUUUAGUGGUACUACUUUAAAAUAAAAAAAAAAACAUUAAUUUAUCUUGGUAUCACAAAAAAUAUCAUCUUUUUUUUUUUUUUUUUUUGUUUAUCAGAAAAUUCAUUUGUGGAUGGUACUGGAUUAGGCACAGGAUCACGUUUUAGACUCCCUCCUUUUCCUUUCAUAGCCAUAGCGUUACUCAUGAUACCAAUAACAAUGGUGAGGACAACUGAAACAAAUGCUGAACCCAGUUCUGUUGUACUACAGUGUCGGUUUAAAACAGCAUAAACUUUAUCUUGGUAAAAAAUAAAUAUAAAUGUUAUUUCCGACAACAUUUUUAUCCAAAUGCUGCCACUCUUCAUUGAUUGCACAUUAGCCGAUACCCAAUUACCAUCAGGAAAGUAUCAUUGAUUGUUGAUUGCUGAACGUCCAGUGGCAAAUAUUUCAUGCAUAUUCAGGACGAGAACAAGUUAACAAUAAAUACACUAGGUAGGUUGUUGUAAUAGAGGUCAUCUAGGAUGGUCGGGGAAAUUUGGACUGCCACUGGAAAAGAGGGUAUAUUGGAUAGGGACAGAAAUUUUGCCUUGCAACAGGCCACCUACGGACCCCUCAAAGAGUUGUUGCAUGGGUUCUAACGUGCAAAGAGCGUGGCACUCUCUUAACACGAGGCAUCGGAUUUAACGUCCCCCUUCUGACCGGACGUGACCGCGAACUUGAUGCAUCCCUCACAGCCAAACGGACGCCCCACUUCGGCAAGCGUUUUGGUCGGGAGAAGACCAAGUGACCAUAUUUCUAUACCCCAGUCACCCUUGGGGGAAGGAAAGUAUCAACUUGUAUUUGGGGGGGACUAAAUUAAACCUGGCUCAAUAUCAAAUGAACAAGAGAUUCAUUUGAGCCAUACGAGUCCAACUUAUUUCCCUGCACAAAAGUGAAAUCACAAUAAUACUGACAAUUCGAAAUCAGAGUCCCUAAUCAAAUGGCAAUUUCAAAAGCUGAAACACAUCAAACGAACGGAACACAUCAGCCAUAUUCCUAUAGUUGAUACAGGCAUUUUCUGAAGUGGAAAAAUGUAGAGUAAACCUUGCUGGAUCUAUAUUUACGUCGACACUUUAACUGAACAUUACGUAAUACACUUUACUACAGUAAGGGUCAUAAUCAUUAAACAUUUCAAAGAUCUGUUAAGUAAGUCAAUAAGUAAGAAAAUUUUAUUUUGAUUCUGCAA